UUUGACCUCAAAUCAGGUAGGACUACCCGCUGAACUUAAGCAUAUCAAUAAGCGGAGGAAAAGAAACUAACAAGGAUUCCCCUAGUAACUGCGAGUGAAGCGGGAAAAGCUCAAAUUUGAAAUCUGGCAGUCUUUUUUUUCUUCUUUGGCUGUCCGAGUUGUAAUCUAGAGAAGUGCUUACCUGCACUGGACCAUGUAUAAGUCUCCUGGAAUGGAGCCUCACAGAGGGUGAGAAUCCCGUCUUUGACAUGGACUGCCAGUGUGUUGUGGUGUGCUCUCAAAGAGUCGAGUUGUUUGGGAAUGCAGCUCUAAAUGGGUGGUAAACUCCAUCUAAAGCUAAAUAUUGGCGAGAGACCGAUAGUGAACAAGUACCGUGAGGGAAAGAUGAAAAGGACUUUGGAAAGAGAGUUAAACAGUAUGUGAAAUUGUUGAAAGGGAAACGCUUGAAGUCAGUUAUGUUGGCUAGGGAUCAACCUAGCUAUUUUUUUGCUGGGUGAAUUUCCUAGUCUUACAGGCCAACAUCAGUCUUGACUGCUGGAAAAGAGCAGGGGGAAUGUGGCACCUUUGGGUGUGUUAUAGCCCUUUGUCAUAUGUGGCAGUUGGGACUGAGGGAUGCAGCAUGCCGUGAGGCUGGGUUUUUGACCACGUUUCAUGCUUAGGAUGUUGGCUUUUAAUGGCUUCAAUCGACCCGUCUUGAAACACGGACCAAGGAGUCUAACAUGCCUGCGAGUGUUUGGGUGGUGAAAACCCUUGUGCACAAUGAAAGUGAAAGUUGAGAUCCCUGUCAUGGGGAGCAUCGACGCCCGGACCUGAGCUUUUAGCGACGGAUCUGCGGUAGAGCAUGCAUGUUGGGACCCGAAAGAUGGUGAACUAUGCCUGAAUAGGGCAAAGCCAGAGGAAACUCUGGUGGAGGCUCGUAGCGAUUCUGACGUGCAAAUCGAUCGUCAAAUUUGGGUAUAGGGGCGAAAGAC
This 971-nucleotide ribosomal RNA is filed under the name Amanita betulae. RNAcentral's name for it is "partial 28S ribosomal RNA". It matches the Rfam family "Eukaryotic large subunit ribosomal RNA", at positions 1 to 931 of the family's 3401-position model. Lineage: Eukaryota; Fungi; Basidiomycota; Agaricomycetes; Agaricales; Amanitaceae. The record is from RNAcentral.